GACGAACGCUGGCGGCGUGCUUAACACAUGCAAGUCGAACGCUGAAGCUCAGCUUUUGUUGGGUGGAUGAGUGGCGAACGGGUGAGUAACACGUGAGUAACCUGCCUCCUUCUUUGGGAUAACGCCCGGAAACGGGUGCUAAUACUGGAUAUUCACUGGUCUUCGCAUGGGGGUUGGUGGAAAGGGUUUUUCUGGUGGGGGAUGGGCUCGCGGCCUAUCAGCUUGUUGGUGGGGCGAUGGCCUACCAAGGCUUUGACGGGUAGCCGGCCUGAGAGGGUGACCGGUCACAUUGGGACUGAGAUACGGCCCAGACUCCUACGGGAGGCAGCAGUGGGGAAUAUUGCACAAUGGGCGCAAGCCUGAUGCAGCGACGCCGCGUGAGGGAUGGAGGCCUUCGGGUUGUGAACCUCUUUCGCUCAUGGUCAAGCCGCAACAAUGGUUGUGGUGAGGGUAGUGGGUAAAGAAGCGCCGGCUAACUACGUG
This 483-nucleotide ribosomal RNA is filed under the name uncultured bacterium. RNAcentral describes it as "partial 16S ribosomal RNA". It matches the Rfam family "Bacterial small subunit ribosomal RNA", at positions 28 to 507 of the family's 1533-position model. The record is from RNAcentral.